RNAcentral lists this transfer RNA (66 nucleotides) under Exophiala aquamarina CBS 119918. It matches the Rfam family "tRNA", at positions 9 to 63 of the family's 71-position model. From Rfam's summary of the family: Transfer RNA (tRNA) molecules are approximately 80 nucleotides in length. Lineage: Eukaryota; Fungi; Ascomycota; Eurotiomycetes; Chaetothyriales; Herpotrichiellaceae. The record is from Rfam by way of RNAcentral.
AGUGUAGCGGUUAGCACACGGGAUUCUGAUUAUUGAAUUUUCCCGUGACCCCGGUUCGAAUCCGGG